This 2544-nucleotide unclassified non-coding RNA is filed under the name Leishmania donovani. RNAcentral describes it as "gene:LdHU3.36.3720(CDS-product:membrane-bound_aci d_phosphatase_precursor)". The record is from RNAcentral. Lineage: Eukaryota; Euglenozoa; Kinetoplastea; Trypanosomatida; Trypanosomatidae.
GCACCUAUGUGCCACUGCCACUGCCACUGCCACUACCAGGAAGACGAAACCACGCACCGUUUAUAUAUGUUGCCUCUGUUACAGGAAGGUUGCCUUUUCCACUGUCUGCGUCCUUUGUUCUCUUUUUUUUCUCUCCCCCACUCCCCCGCGAUCGUAUGCACACGCUCAUUGUCUGACCUUCUCUAAUUCAUGCACACGUGCACGGUCAUCUUGUCGUGUUGGCAUUUUCCUUGUCUUUUGCAGCUAUCCUUCUCGUCUUCUUCCCACUCCACUGCUUGUGGCCUUUCACUCUCUUUCGACCCAUUUUACCGCCUGCAAACUCCUCUCAUAGAAGAGACUUCCCAUUGCCCACUUCCCUUCUUUUCUCUUCCGCUAUCAUGCGCAGAGGCAUCGCUUUCCUCUACAGGUGCGUGGUGGUGGUGGCUGUGGUGGUCAGCGCAGCGGUGGUGUUGGCGGCACCGAUGUACAAGGUGGAGCUGGUCCAGGUGGUGCACCGCCACGGAGCCCGCUCCCCGCUCGUCGAUGACAACCACACACUCAUCUGCGGCACUGAGUUCCCGUGCGGGUUUAUCAACUACGAGGGUCAGGCGAUGCUAGUGAAAUUGGGCGAGUACCUGCGCCAUCGCUACACGGAGGACCGUUCGGUUGUGUCGAAGCCAUACUUCCCGUACAGCUGGUACAACUUGUCUAUCUCGUAUACGCGCUCGACGGAUGUGCUGCGCACGCUACAGAGCGCCAACGGGCUUCUGCGGGGCCUCUUCCCGAACAACUCGAAUUUCUUUCCUGCGAUCCACACGGUGGGAUUCGAGGAGGAUGUGCUACUGCACAGCAUGAUGGUGCCGAUGAUUCGUGCCCGCUUCAAUUACGCGAAGGAGGAGCUGCGGGCCGUGUGCGACCAGAUGUUAGACAGACUAAUGCCAUUUGAUCAGCUGCAGGCGGUAGCGGCGGAGGUACACUCGCAGGGGUUUUGCGCCAACUACACCCUGCGCUCGCGUUGUGCGGAGCGGCUGUGCGACAUUGGGCGCGCAUACGAGCCCACUGGCCGCUUGGAAAGACUCCCGCUGCUUAGUCGGCACCUGGACGACGUGUGCGCUGUGACAGCGAUGAGCUCGCAUUUUUGUUUCGCUUACAACGCCAGCAAUCCUGUCCAUCAGAAGCAAGGUGCACCGUUCUACCACCUGGCGAGAUUGCUGGUGAGCAACAUGCUGGCGCACCAGCAGCGUGAGACGGCGCCGCCGUACAAGCUGUACGAGUACAGUGCACACGAUACCACUAUCUCGCCCCUGGCGGUUUCCUUCGGUGACAGCUCUCUAGAGGCGAUGCUGCCGCCCUUCGGCACAGCGUUUAUCAUAGAGCUCCUGUCGCUGACGGACGCGCCUGCCGCGUCGUCGCGCUUCUACGUGCGGCUGCUGCGCGGCCACUCUGGUGUGAGACCGGAAAGCAACUUCACCUUCGCUCUGAGUCACUUCGACAUGCGCUGCAAGGAUGCGACGGGCAAUACGUACAUUGCGACGGACAACAUAUGUCCCUUCACCGACUUUGAGCGCUUUAUAAACUCCACCGCGCCAACGAGCCCGAUGGGUACGUGCUACCUCGACCCUGGACUGCUGUUCCGCAUGGACUGUCCGGUCGACGCCGUUGGCGACAACCGCAGCUUGUCCAAGGACUGCCUCUUCUACCGCAAGCACUGCAGCAAUUACUCGUGCGGCACCGGCUACUACCUUGACGCGAUCGACUACGGCUGCCACCGCAUCCCGGCGAACAACUCAACGACUGUGUCGUCGCCCAUGUCCAGCGGCGGCAUUGCUGCCCUGAGCAUCGCGCUCUUCAUCGUCGGCGGAGUGGCGAGCAUCGGCGGCAUGGAGGUGUGGAAGCGCUACAAGAAGUUGAAAAGCAAGCAAUCCGAGGUGCUUAUCGUCUGACAACCCGUCGAAGCCUGUAGCCAUGCUUUUUCUCCUUGUAGCCUUUAUUUUCCUUAACACACAAAGAGCAUACCCUCACCUGCGGGCUUCCUCAACAGUACAACCCCCUAUUCGACAGUGCUUCUGCGAAAAAUUGUACAUCUUGUGCGCUAAGGUUGUCAGCAUGCAAACGCCCCACAACCGAACAUUCUCUGAUUUAGUCUACCUGCCUCGGUAAAUGCUUUUCUUCCUUCUGUCCGGUAAGAAGUGUGUUCGCAGUGGAUUAUGCUUUCGCUUAGCCGUGUGUUUUUCUCUCGCACUAAUACAGUUCUUUUCGUGUUCUAACCCUUCACGGGGGCCAUCAACUUCCCCGCCGUUGCGCUCGCUCAGCGGUGGAUCCUGUGUGUGAGAAGCAAGCUGGCAAGCUGGAAGUGGACGCAAAAGAAGCCAGUAAGUCCAAUUUUAGUGCCUUUCAUGCGCAACUCCCGUGCGUGUGCGAAACAGGCGUCCAAAAAAAAACACGCACACCUUCGCGAAAGCGUUGCUACAAAUGCUAUCGUCGUUUUUCUGGCGUCCUUCCCAUUCGUAUGUUUUUCUGCACAACCGUUUUUUGUGUUUCACAAUAGCCACCGAGCAAACGAAG